RNAcentral lists this ribosomal RNA (468 nucleotides) under uncultured bacterium. Its description in RNAcentral is "partial 16S ribosomal RNA". It matches the Rfam family "Bacterial small subunit ribosomal RNA", at positions 28 to 507 of the family's 1533-position model. The record is from RNAcentral.
GACGAACGCUGGCGGUGUGCUUAACACAUGCAAGUCGAACGGAAAGGCCCUGCUUUUGUGGGGUGCUCGAGUGGCGAACGGGUGAGUAACACGUGAGUAACCUGCCCUUGACUUUGGGAUAACUUCAGGAAACUGGGGCUAAUACCGGAUAGGAGCUCCUGCUGCAUGGUGGGGGUUGGAAAGUUUCGGCGGUUGGGGAUGGACUCGCGGCUUAUCAGCUUGUUGGUGGGGUAGUGGCUUACCAAGGCUUUGACGGGUAGCCGGCCUGAGAGGGUGACCGGCCACAUUGGGACUGAGAUACGGCCCAGACUCCUCCGGGAGGCAGCAGUGGGGAAUAUUGCACAAUGGGCGGAAGCCUGAUGCAGCAACGCCGCGUGCGGGAUGACGGCCUUCGGGUUGUAAACCGCUUUCGCCUGUGACGAAGCGUGAGUGACGGUAAUGGGUAAAGAAGCACCGGCUAACUACGUG